This 429-nucleotide ribosomal RNA is filed under the name bacterium. Its description in RNAcentral is "partial 16S ribosomal RNA". It matches the Rfam family "Bacterial small subunit ribosomal RNA", at positions 355 to 776 of the family's 1533-position model. The record is from RNAcentral. RNAcentral also lists the same sequence under 1 other name.
UAGGGAAUCUUCCACAAUGGACGCAAGUCUGAUGGAGCAACGCCGCGUGAGUGAAGAAGGUUUUCGGAUCGUAAAGCUCUGCUGUUGGUGAAGAAGGAUAGAGGCAGUAACUGGUCUUUAUUUGACGGUAAUCAACCAGAAAGUCACGGCUAACUACGUGCCAGCAGCCGCGGUAAUACGUAGGUGGCAAGCGUUGUCCGGAUUUAUUGGGCGUAAAGCGAGCGCAGGCGGAAUGAUAAGUCUGAUGUGAAAGCCCACGGCUCAACCGUGGAACUGCAUCGGAAACUGUCAUUCUUGAGUGCAGAAGAGGAGAGUGGAAUUCCAUGUGUAGCGGUGGAAUGCGUAGAUAUAUGGAAGAACACCAGUGGCGAAGGCGGCUCUCUGGUCUGCAACUGACGCUGAGGCUCGAAAGCAUGGGUAGCGAACAGG